RNAcentral lists this ribosomal RNA (730 nucleotides) under uncultured bacterium. RNAcentral describes it as "bacterial SSU rRNA". It matches the Rfam family "Bacterial small subunit ribosomal RNA", at positions 66 to 778 of the family's 1533-position model. The record is from RNAcentral.
GCUUGCAUUUAACUGAUUCCCCAUUGAGACGAGUGGCGAACUGGUGAGUAACACGUGGGUAACCUGCCCUUGAAGUAGGGGAUAACACUUGGAAACAGGUGCUAAUACCGUAUAACAACCAAAACCACCUGGUUUUGGUUUAAAAGAUGGCUUCGGCUAUCACUUUAGGAUGGACCCGCGGCGUAUUAGCUUGUUGGUAAGGUAACGGCCUACCAAGGCAAUGAUACGUAGCCGACCUGAGAGGGUAAUCGGCCACAUUGGGACUGAGACACGGCCCAAACUCCUACGGGAGGCAGCAGUAGGGAAUCUUCCACAAUGGACGAAAGUCUGAUGGAGCAACGCCGCGUGAGUGAUGAAGGGUUUCGGCUCGUAAAACUCUGUUGUUGGAGAAGAACAGGUGUGAGAGUAACUGUUCACAUCUUGACGGUAUCCAACCAGAAAGCCACGGCUAACUACGUGCCAGCAGCCGCGGUAAUACGUAGGUGGCAAGCGUUGUCCGGAUUUAUUGGGCGUAAAGCGAGCGCAGGCGGUUUCUUAGGUCUGAUGUGAAAGCCUUCGGCUUAACCGGAGAAGUGCAUCGGAAACCAGGAGACUUGAGUGCAGAAGAGGACAGUGGAACUCCAUGUGUAGCGGUGAAAUGCGUAGAUAUAUGGAAGAAUACCAGUGGCGAAGGCGGCUGUCUGGUCUGUAACUGACGCUGAGGCUCGAAAGCAUGGGUAGCGAACAGGAU